This 253-nucleotide ribosomal RNA is filed under the name uncultured bacterium. RNAcentral describes it as "partial 16S ribosomal RNA". It matches the Rfam family "Bacterial small subunit ribosomal RNA", at positions 524 to 776 of the family's 1533-position model. The record is from RNAcentral.
UACGAAGGGUGCAAGCGUUACUCGGAAUUACUGGGCGUAAAGCGUGCGCAGGCGGUUUGUUAAGUCCGCUGUGAAAUCCCCGAGCUCAACUUGGGAAUUGCAGUGGAUACUGGCAAGCUGGAGUAUGGUAGAGGAAGGUGGAAUUCCCGGUGUAGCAGUGAAAUGCAUAGAGAUCGGGAGGAACACCAGUGGCGAAGGCGGCCUUCUGGACCAAUACUGACGCUCAUGCACGAAAGCGUGGGGAGCAAACAGG